Molecule: small RNA, 148 nt
Filed under: Mytilus galloprovincialis (Mediterranean mussel)
Lineage: Eukaryota; Metazoa; Mollusca; Bivalvia; Mytilida; Mytilidae
Source: RNAcentral
GCUCUAUGGUCGGUUGUUGUCGCUUUGAAACAUUCCCCAUUUCCUUUCUCAAUUAUAUUUGGAGAAUGUAAUAGAUGGAUUUUACUCAUGAUAAAAUUGAGAAUGGAAAUGGGGAAUGUGUUAAGGAGACAACAACCCGACCAUAGAA